Molecule: small nucleolar RNA, 138 nt
Organism: Tachyglossus aculeatus (Australian echidna)
Lineage: Eukaryota; Metazoa; Chordata; Mammalia; Monotremata; Tachyglossidae
Source: RefSeq, a predicted model, not a curated record
CCCCUCUCCAGGUCGCACCUGGAGAGUUUCCAGGACUCUACCAGUCUCGACUACAAGAGGGAGAGUCAAGUAGAGGCCUACUUAUUCCAUUCCUAGCUUGGCCAGUGGCUAGCGAGUAGAAGGCCAUCGGCUACAAGU